AUACACUGCUGCAUUUGAUUAUUAAUGCCUUAUAAUUUGAAUGGUUAGAAAAUGUAUCCACUUUUAGAUUUUGUGAAUUCUCUCACCAGAAGAGUUGUGCUACAAAUGGAAGACUGAAAACUACCUGGCAGAAAUUAAAAAACAAGCAAACAAAUGAACAAAAGUCCAUGCAUCAGGUUCCUGAUAAGAUGAAGAGAAACCUGGUGAAGUAUCAGUCAGAGAACACAAAUGCCUGCCUCUGCCUCUGCUUCGUGUCAGGGUUCAUGAAAUCUGCACUGUGUGGAACCCGGGCCCCACCUUCCUGGAGGUUGUGAGGACGCACGGAAUGAGAUGAGAACUGAAGAGGCGUAGAGCAGCCCGGGGUGCAGGUGCGCUCGGUACCAAGCGGUCUUCAUUCCUCCUGUUGCCGCCAGAGGGCUCAGAAAAAAAGUAAGUCCAAUUUCUCUGGCUUUUUUUUUUUUUUUUUUUUUUUUUUGCUAUUG
Molecule: long non-coding RNA, 482 nt
Filed under: Piliocolobus tephrosceles (Ugandan red Colobus)
Lineage: Eukaryota; Metazoa; Chordata; Mammalia; Primates; Cercopithecidae
Description: lncRNA (ENSPTEG00000028808.1)
Source: RNAcentral